This 2843-nucleotide long non-coding RNA is filed under the name Mus musculus (house mouse). RNAcentral's name for it is "POU domain, class 3, transcription factor 3 adjacent noncoding transcript 2". Lineage: Eukaryota; Metazoa; Chordata; Mammalia; Rodentia; Muridae. The record is from RNAcentral.
GUAGCUCUAGCUCAUCCCCCACCAGUUCAGCCACGGUAGGAUGAGGAGGAUGAGGGUUUGCGGGAGGAAAAGCUUUGGAGAGAUGGGGUGCGGGACUAUGGAACCCGCUUGAGUCCAGUAGGCCAGCGCGGGUCAUUUCCAUAAGAAAGCCGCAACCCAGCUGGAGGCUGCGGUUCUUCAUGGCCUCCCUGCCCCCACCAUCAUUGGCAGCGUGUCGCGGGCUUCUCUGCAGCCUAGAUCUAGGCGACUGGUGUGGAUUGGUGUUGAUGAGAUGUGGCUUCCAGCGUUGCCCGACUCAGACCUGUUUCCAGUCUGGAUGGAGCGGACCGACUGUGUGGGGUGAGUCCAGGGUGCGGCGGAGCCAGUAAGAGUUGAGGAGAGCGCGGGGAAGCUAGUCCGUAGUGGGCACCUCGGAUUAGGAAGUCCUGAGAAGUACUCUGAAGCGGGGUGUGAAGAGAGAGUACUGGGAGAAGGCCUAGGAAGCUAAGCCGUCCUUGCUGCCCCUCUCAAAUCCCCGGAGCUUUCGCUUUCAGUGGGUGACCCUCUUCCAGCGAAGGGAUGGAAAGUGAACUUGGUCGGGCAUUUGAUCUAGCUAGCAAAGCGGUUCUUUUCUGUGUACAUUGAGUACAUUGAGUUUCUUCUCUGCUUUCAAGAGCCCACGCACGAUGGCCACGCAUCUUCAGGUCUAUCAAACACACACACACACACACACACACACACACACACACACACACACACACAUACACACACACAUCUAGAGAAAUUAAAACCUAGAUCUAUAGUGUUCAAAAAAAAAAAAAAAGCAAAGCAGAGGAGAUAAUGUGUGAGACAGCCGUCUUCACUUUGCCUUCUAUUGGGAAAAGUUGCCUGAGAAGGAAUAACUUCCCUUUUAUGGAUUCUGAACCACCUGUACUUUGCUACAAAGCUUAGUUGGGUCACAAAUAAAACACCAGUUACAUCGAGCAAUGAAACCAAUUACAACUAUUAACAACUUUAUUACUUAUGAUUAGACUUGAGAACUUUAAACUCAGACAAUAUGAUCGAGUUAUUUUUCAAACCAGCUAAGAUUUUUACACCAUCCCUCCCCACUCCACUUCCUACCCCUGUCCCCAAGAAGUAAGAAGAGUAGAAAUGAUAUUUCAGGGAGUUUGUAUGUAUCCGUGGUCAAUAUUAUAUUUGUUUCUUUUAGUAAAGUUUGUUGCUUCUUGUACCUAAUGGUACCUUGAUUCCUGAUUCUGUCGAGUUAUGGAGAGCAUAAUUGAAGAUGGCUGGUUACAACCGACUUGGUUUGGAUGUGGAAUUGGGGCAAGCACUCUCUCCCAGUACUCUAGUAAUGCUGAAAACCCAAAUCUAUUUAAAAGGACAAGUUGUUUUAACUUCUACCACAGAUGGGGUGAGAGGAACAAGUGAAACUCAACAGCUAAGGAGAAAAUGAAGAACUAGUGCUACGUUUUCCACGUUCUUUUUGCUCCGGGGUUGACAUGGCAUUUGGCCUUUCUACCUGGAGAAAAUCAAGAGUAUGUAACUUUCCCUGCAGAUGGUCUGUCUGUAAGGUAAGGCAUUCACAUUGGGAUCUCGCAAGUCUCCAUGUAUAUUUACGUAUUUUUAUCCCCAGUCACCUGUCUUGGUUUUCUGGCAAGGGUCUGCAAAGGGAGGGAGACACAAGUGAAGUGGAGAUUUCCCUCUCUGGGGGCUUUUGUUUCCCUCUGAUGCCCCAGCUCACACUGCACAACAAAGGGAAGAGGCGAGUGAUCUCUCUUUUGGUCUCCUGGUCCCUCAUUUCCACCUCUCCUCUGUGGGCUUCCUCUUUGAGACCCGGAGGAAAGCCUGGGGAGGAGAUGGGGGGGGGGGUCAAGUUCACAACACUAGACUACUGCUGACCUUGCCAGACCCUUCUCCUUGAGAAGCAGAGAGCCCAUUUUAGAUGCUAGCCACUCUGUGCCUUUGGGUACUUUGGCCACUUCCAAAGACUGCAUAGUUGAGGCUGAUAGCUUCACACACCUCUCUGGUUAAAAAGCAUUGAGGACAAGGUCUGGUGAUUCCUGGAAGCGGUCCUCAAAGGGCCCAACCCCCACCCCAGCACUGGAGAGCCAUACACCUCAAGCAUGCCUUGCAAGGCCCUAUAUUCUCAUCACCGCAGAAACCAAAAACUCACAGAAACACACAGGACAGCUAUUAAAUAACUCUUGGAAGAGGUUAGAGGUCUUUACCUUGGGGCUGAGACAUUUUAAAGCCCUUUUGGGUAGAUCCUCAGGGGAUACGACAUAGAAAUUAAACUUGCUGGCUCAGUUUUAAAAUCCAAAAUCUCUCUCCUCUUAAAGCUGUUCAUUGAAAACGGUUUUUAGAUACCAUGUUGUUUGCUGAUGGUUCCUCUCACCAUUCUUAGGCUGGAGAGUCUCAAGGCCGUGCCACUAAGACUUCGGAGCUAGUUUUGGGGAGCCAUCCACUUUAUGAUUAGAUCUGUUGACUUUGUCUUUAACUCUGCGGGUGGGUUUUCAGACUUGAAAAAUGUAAAUGACAAGUUAACUCCUUCCCUGCCAGCACAUUACAGGAGUCUUUUCUUAGGGGAUGCCAGCUUGGCUUGUACUCAUCAAAGUGGGCACUGUGUCUGACCUGGGCAGAAAGAGGAGAUUUGACACUUUUCAUUUCAGAGCUGACACAGGAACCUUUGGGAGCCAGUAUCUAUUUUGUUUCCGACUGCAAAGUUCCAGCCAAUGAUUUGGAGGGGGGCCGGCACCUUCUGCUGGGAGCUAGUCUGGGAGGGAACAACUCAUUCCUGAGUUCUCUUUCGCAAACAUAUCUCUUGUCUAUUAAAAUAAUAGUAAUAAAAAUAAGAAUAAUAA